Molecule: long non-coding RNA, 1442 nt
Organism: Pseudopipra pipra
Lineage: Eukaryota; Metazoa; Chordata; Aves; Passeriformes; Pipridae
Exons: 3
Source: RefSeq, a predicted model, not a curated record
ACUCUAGGAAAACUGUGACUCAAUUCAUUACUACAGACCCUACCCCACCACAACCUCUGGAUAUGACUGUUGAAAAAAGUCAUUACAGUUGGAAGAAAUGCUCAAAUGCAUGUCAUACAAUUGGAUUUAAGCAAUGGGGUCUCCAGGGUGAAAAUUUCUUCUGAAUUUGGACCUGAACUAGGUGCCUUCGUAUUAACAUAAUGUACACUUUAGUUUUAUAAAUAUGUACUUUAAGACAUAUCUAGGAAAGUAUAACUCACUACUCACUUCCCUUGGUUUUUUCAUUUACUGAAGGAAAAUGAUUAAUAUACCAAUUUUUGAACUUAUUAAAUGCUCUCUUUUUUGUUGGGAAAGUGUUCUGUUGCUAGAGGCGAUUACCCAGUAGCUCUUAACAAUCAAAGCCAUUGUGACCAAGAUUUAUGACAAGACCCCAAACCAUUCGCUCUGAAGAUUUCAUGCCUUUAUUUUGGACACAGCAUUACCAAAUGCAAUGCACACCUCUGACACUUUUAGGUCAGACUAUCGCUGCAUAUACCACUCACCAGGACUGCACAAAUUCAGUUCAUGACACAGAUCUCAUAAUGAAGGUAGUUAGGAAUUUGCCAGGAAAUAGAACUCAUUGUGGCACCUGACAAUGUUGUGUUUUUCUCCAACUGCAGUUAAAGAUCAUGAAUUUUAUCAAAAGGAUAGACUAACUUGAGACGAGCCCAGUGAAGACACUGCAGGACACAGCUCAGUUCCAGGGAGCCUCUAUAUGUGCAUAAAUAGAGCACGUACAGGGAAUUCCCCAGUAAACAAAAAGGACUGUUCCUGUGAAGGGUGAGAACAUUCCCCUCUUGACAGGAACCUUGAGCAGCAGUGAAAACCAUUAAUGAUGCCACAAUGAAGCCAGGUUUCAAGAUUUCAAUAUUGUGCCUCUAUAGAUAAGCACAAUAAGAAAUACAUGCAUCAAAGCAAGCAAGAACUAUAUGGCAAGCAGGGAGGCUCCAAGGGUGGCUUCUGUGAGAAGCCGUAGAAGCUUUCCCGCAGGGUAGUCAUGCUGGAGCAGUUUGUGAAGAACUGCAGCCUGUGGGAAGAAUUCACAUUGGAGAAGUCCGUAGUGGGCUUCUCUCCACGGGACCCCACACUGCAGCAGGGGCAGAGUGUGAGGAGUCUUCCCGCUGAGGAGGAAGGAGAGGCAGAGACAUGUGAUGAACUGACUGCAGCCCCCACUCCCUGUCUCCUGCGCUGCUGGGGGGGAGGAUGUAGAGAAAAUCAAGAGUGAAGCUGAGCCUGGAAUAAAGGGAGGGGUGGAGGGAAGUUGUUUUAAAGAUUUAGUUUUAUUUUCUCAUUACCCUACUCUGAUUUGAUAGGCAACAAAUAAAACUAAUUGCCCCCAGUUGAGUCUGUUCUGCCCAUGAUGGUAAGUGGUGAGUGAUCUCUCCCUGUCCUUAUCUCGACCC